RNAcentral lists this ribosomal RNA (453 nucleotides) under uncultured bacterium. RNAcentral's name for it is "bacterial SSU rRNA". It matches the Rfam family "Bacterial small subunit ribosomal RNA", at positions 28 to 478 of the family's 1533-position model. The record is from RNAcentral.
GAUGAACGCUGGCGGCGUGCUUAACACAUGCAAGUCGAACGAAGCACUCUAUUUGAUUUUCUUCGGAAAUGAAGAUUUUGUGACUGAGUGGCGGACGGGUGAGUAACGCGUGGGUAACCUGCCUCAUACAGGGGGAUAACAGUUGGAAACGACUGCUAAUACCGCAUAAGCGCACAGGAUCGCAUGAUCCGGUGUGAAAAACUCCGGUGGUAUGAGAUGGACCCGCGUCUGAUUAGCCAGUUGGCAGGGUAACGGCCUACCAAAGCGACGAUCAGUAGCCGACCUGAGAGGGUGACCGACCACAUUGGGACUGAGACACGGCCCAAACUCCUACGGGAGGCAGCAGUGGGGAAUAUUGCACAAUGGGGGAAACCCUGAUGCAGCGACGCCGCGUGAGCGAAGAAGUAUUUCGGUAUGUAAAGCUCUAUCAGCAGGGAAGAAGAAUGACGGUAC